GCGCGAUUAGCUCAGGGGGAGAGCACUACCUUGACACGGUAGGGGUCAUAAGUUCAAAUCUUAUAUCGCGCACCA
This 75-nucleotide transfer RNA is filed under the name Coriobacteriales bacterium. Its description in RNAcentral is "tRNA-Val". It matches the Rfam family "tRNA". Rfam says of the family: Transfer RNA (tRNA) molecules are approximately 80 nucleotides in length. Their secondary structure includes four short double-helical elements and three loops (D, anti-codon, and T loops). The record is from RNAcentral. Lineage: Bacteria; Bacillati; Actinomycetota; Coriobacteriia; Coriobacteriales.